Brachypodium distachyon (stiff brome) is the source of this 125-nucleotide non-coding RNA. NCBI's taxonomy places the organism in Eukaryota, Viridiplantae, Streptophyta, Magnoliopsida, Poales, Poaceae. The record is from Rfam.
AACUUACUCCCUCCGAUCCUAAAUUAUUGUCGAAAUAUUACAUGAAUCUAGACAUUUUUUAUAAAUAGAUACAUCCAAAUUUGUGCAAAUUUGAGACAAAAAUUUAGGAUCGGAGUGAGUACAAU